CUUUAGACAUAAAAUUUGGACACUCUUACAAAAAUGGAAAAAAGUUGAAAGAGAAAAUAUGUAUUUUGGUGCUGUUGGGGUCUCUGCGCGGUACUUUUAGCUGCUGUUUGGUGACAGGAACAGCAAUGCUGUUGUUGCUGUUUGUAUGUUGGUGGUUUUUUGUCAGCUAGCAGUUUGGUUUUGGGGGUGUGUCGGUGCCUCGUGCGGCCAUCUCCCACACUUGUAUGUUGGUAUCCAUUGAACUAUCUUGACCCCACCAACAAAUUGCUCAUUUUUAUUGGUGGGUAAAUUACCCACCAUUCUUCAUAGGUAAAUGAUGUAAUAGUAGAGGUGGUGGAAGGUGAUGCUAGAAAUGUUCUCUGUGAUACAGUGGAAAAGUACCGUGCUUCAAUCUUGGUUGUGGGUAGUCACGGUUAUGGGGCUAUAAAAAGGGCGGUUUUAGGUAGUGUGAGUGACUACUGUGCUCAUCAUGCUCAUUGCACUGUGAUGAUUGUGAAGAAGCCAAAAACCAAGCACUGAUCUAUAUUGGCAUAUCCUGCAAGAAUAAAUAUAUAAUCCUUUCAGCAGAAGUGAAAUAGCAAUGUUCUCAGAAAGUUUGUGACUUAGUUUAUCCUAUGGCAUGUUUGGUUUGUAGUUUAUGAUAGAAAAUAUGCAAUUGUGUGGAUUGUUGUUGCCUCCUACCCGGGGGCCUUAUUUUAUUCUGUAUAUG
RNAcentral lists this long non-coding RNA (709 nucleotides) under Medicago truncatula (barrel medic). Its description in RNAcentral is "lncRNA gene5123". The record is from RNAcentral. Lineage: Eukaryota; Viridiplantae; Streptophyta; Magnoliopsida; Fabales; Fabaceae.